Molecule: ribosomal RNA, 492 nt
Filed under: uncultured bacterium
Lineage: Bacteria
Description: partial 16S ribosomal RNA
Rfam family: Bacterial small subunit ribosomal RNA
Source: RNAcentral
AGUGAACGCUGGCGGUAGGCCUAACACAUGCAAGUCGAACGGCAGCACAGUAAGAGCUUGCUCUUACGGGUGGCGAGUGGCGGACGGGUGAGGAAUACAUCGGAAUCUACUUUUUCGUGGGGGAUAACGUAGGGAAACUUACGCUAAUACCGCAUACGACCUACGGGUGAAAGCAGGGGAUCUUCGGACCUUUCGCGAUUGAAUGAGCCGAUGUCGGAUUAGCUAGUUGGCGGGGUAAAGGCCCACCAAGGCGACGAUCCGUAGCUGGUCUGAGAGGAUGAUCAGCCACACUGGAACUGAGACACGGUCCAGACUCCUACGGGAGGCAGCAGUGGGGAAUAUUGGACAAUGGGCGCAAGCCUGAUCCAGCCAUACCGCGUGGGUGAAGAAGGCCUUCGGGUUGUAAAGCCCUGUUGUUGGGAAAGAAAAGCAGCAGGUUAAUACCCCGCUGUUCUGACGGUACCCAAAGAAUAAGCACCGGCUAACUUCGUG